UGAUCAGAAUAGACUCUCCAACUCCA
This 26-nucleotide non-coding RNA is filed under the name Mus musculus (house mouse). The record is from RNAcentral. Lineage: Eukaryota; Metazoa; Chordata; Mammalia; Rodentia; Muridae.